RNAcentral lists this long non-coding RNA (221 nucleotides) under Elaeis guineensis (African oil palm). Its description in RNAcentral is "long non-coding RNA (EGUI_LNC068740)". The record is from RNAcentral. Lineage: Eukaryota; Viridiplantae; Streptophyta; Magnoliopsida; Arecales; Arecaceae.
GAUAGACCAACACACAAAUCACUUCCUUCAGGAUAGAUGAGUCUCUAGUCUAUAGUGUAGAGACACUAGGCGAUGAGUGCGGAUAGUUGUUACAGAACAACUAGUACUAAGCAUAACUAUACGAUAGAUCACUUGAAUUUUUAUUUAAUCGUCAGUGAUUGUCUCAAUACUGUAGUUAUAUGAAUGGUCCUUUGAUCUGAGAUGGUACUACUGCUCGCAGU